CUUCUCCUGCUUGUGCUCUCUCUCUCACUCUUUCUCUCUCUGUGUGUCAAAUAAAUAAAUAAAAUCUUAAAAAAAGCAAGUAUCUUUUAUUUUGCUCAUAGAAGUAACUGUGUGAUCUUAUUUAAGAGUCAAUAUAGUCUGAAAAAAGAAAGUAUGUCCAUUUCUGAAUUUGUGGCAAUUACUGUUCUCUCAAAAAUACGCAGUCAUGUGGAAUGGGUUGAUACACAAAUAUGUUGAAUAUGAAGUCAGAUAACCCCAUGUUAUUUAUAUAUAGUAUAACUAGUGGAUGUGUGUGCAUUGAUUUUAAUACUCAAUAGCGGUAGGUAGGUAAGUAAGUGACCUAAGCUAAUAUCACUGUUUGCUAUUUUGUUUGUUGCAUCUUUUAUGGGAAGUGAAGAUUAUUUCAGUUCUUGGUCCUCAUCCCUAAUCUUUUUCCAGUUUUGAAAAUGGCACAUCUGUGGUGCCUGAGUAUUUCUGUAAAAUUACUCCUUUUACAAGGGAGAAAUUUAUAAAAACUAGUGUAUGUCAUAAAAAGGGGAACUUUCUUGUAUGACUAGAUUGAUCGAAAGAGUAGUUCAGACAGUAAAAACAAAACAGCAUUGGGACAUGUUUUAAAUUGUAUCGACAAUGAAACUGUCAUUAAUGUUUUUGUGGUUAAUCUGUUAUUCUGUAGAGUAGGUUGGUUUAGCUAAUAAGUAGUGAAGGCUUUAGAACUAAGGGCACAUUUUACUUUAAACUGACUUCAGUUUCUGAUGAUGCAUACAAACAUUAAAUUUUACUGAAUGGGGCAAUUAUUUUUAGGUGGCCGUUGGUCUCAUUGAUGUUUCAAGAAUGGAUGUACUCAGAUAAAGUCCUUUAAGAUUUGAAUUCUCGUGUUGCAUACUGAGGACCUUUUGGAGGUGUUUGAUCUUUAGUAUACAUUACUAGCUUUGUGACCUUGAACACAUUUUUUUUUUUUAAGAUUUUAUUUAUUUGACAGAGAGAGAGACAGUGAGAGAGGGAACACAAGCAGGGGGAGUGGGAGAGGGAGAAGCAGGCUCCCCGCGGAGCAGGGAGCCGGAUGUGGGGCUCAAUCCCAGGACCCUGGGAUCAUGACCUGAGCCGAAGGCAGACGCUUAACGACUGAGCCACCCAGGCGCCCCUUAAACACAUUUUUUUAAAGAUUUAUUUAUUUAUUUGAGAGAGAGAGAGAGAAACAGCAUGAGAGGGGAUAGGGUCAGAGGGAGAAGCAGGCUCCCCGCUGAGCCGGGAGCCCGAUGUGGGACUCCGUCCCAGGACUCCGGGAUCAUGACCUGAGCGGAAGGCAGUCGCUUAACCAACUGAGCCACCCAGGCGCCCCGCCCCUUAAACACAUUUUAUAUCCCCUCUGAGUCUUACUCCUUUUGUGGGGCUCAAGUGAGGUUAAUAAAUCCACCUGACAGACUUAUUGUGAAUAUAUAUUUUGUUUAAAGUAAAAUCCAAACUCUCCACCAUGGGCUACAAGAUUUCUGCCCAGUUCUUUCGUUCAUCUUGAGCAACCCUGUCUUCCUCACCACAAAGUUACCCUCUAGCCUUUCUAUUCCCUCACAUUCCAGGCUGCUUCUGGCCUCCUCACCUUUGACAUGUAGUUGUUUGCCUAGAAUGUCGUUCUUAUGGUUGGUUCAUUGUCCGAUCUUAAUGCCAGGUUCACUGCAUCAGAGAAGGCUUUCCUGACUACUCUUAUAGCUCCUUCAGGAGCCCCAUCUUACCAGUUUGUAUGUUUUCAUCAUAAUGUUUACUGCAGUGUAUAACUAUUUUGUUUAUUUCUUUUGGUCUUUCUCCUCUUCCAAGUCCCACAUGGGCAGAAUGUGGUCUGUGGUUCUCUGUCUCCCUAACACAUCCCAUGGGGACAUGGUGUACAGAAAGUGCUUGUAGUUUUUACAUUGUUAUCUACACACUAAAGGCAAGGAUUUGCUGUGUAGAUGGUAGAAAUCUGUUGGUUUUUUUGUGUUGCUCAUUGCCAUCUGAGCUGAUCUGCUCAGCUGAGUAAGUCAUGGCCCUAAUAAGGCCAACAUUCUUGUAACUUCAGGGCCCAAGUCACCCUACACAGGGAGAGCUUUUUUUUUUUUUUAAGUCAGCUCUACUCCCAGCAUGGGUCCCAAACUCAUGACCACAAGAUCAAGAGUUGCUCUACUGACUGAGCCAGGCAGGUGCGCCAGGAACUGUCUUUACCUGUAGAGCCAGAAUGUGGGUCUGAGCUCAUUCAAGUGUCCAGCUGUCCAGUCACGAAGAUGCACAGGCAUUCAUCACUUCUGGAAGAGUAGUUAUCUAUAGUGUGUGGAGAGUAACAACUCCAAAGCACACUUCCCUUGAUGUUAGCGCACAUAGCUUGAUAAGGUAAACCCUUCGUUGUCUGGAAGCCCUGGCAUUCUCAGUUAUGUGAUGCAGAAUUCAGCAGGAGGGAAAAACCUCAUUUGGAAUCAGUCAAGUAGGAGGCCUAGAUAGCUAACUGGCUGAUGAAGGCAGUCUUUCAUAGGGAUGUGGAUCGAGGUUUGAAUUUCAGCUCUGUGACUUUAUAGGGUAGGUUUUUAAAAUAAAUUCUGUCUUAUUUGCUUUAUCUGUAAAAUGUAAUAGUGCCUUUCUCAGCAUUGUUGUGGAAAUUAAACAAGAAAAUGUACAUAAAUGUAUGGAUUCAGUGCCUGGAAUAUAACAAAUGCUAAUAUUAAUAUCAGUUUAGGGGCAUCUGGGUGGCUCAGUUGGUUAAGCAUCUGCCCUCAGCUCAGGUCAUGAUCCCAGGGUCCUGGGAUUGAACCUGCUCAUAGGGGAGCCUGCUUCUCUCUCUGCUGCUCCCGCUUCUUGUGCUCUCUCUCUCUCUCUGUCAAAUAAAUAAAUAAAAUCUUUAAAAAAUAUAAUCAGUUUAAAAUAUACUGUGAUUGGUUAAAAAGAGCAUUCUGGGUAAUCAGUACCAGGUAUAUAAGACUUGCUUUUUCUUUCUUUUUUUUUUAAGAUUUUAUUUGAGAGAGAGUGUAUGUGAGAGAUCACAAGCGGGGGAUCUGCAGAAGGAGAGGGAGAAGCAGGCUCCCUGCUGAGCAGGGAGCCCGAUGCAGGGCUCCAUCCCAGGAGUGAGAUCAUGACCUGAGCCGAAGGCAGACACUUAACCAACUGAGCCACCCAGGCGCCCCAAGACUUGGUUUUUCUUAAGGAAGCCCUGUGUGGGGAAAGGGUGUAAGACCAAAGGGACAAGAAAAAUGAAAAUAAAAGAGGAAAGACAGAGCUCACAGAAGUAUUAAUGGUGCCAGCUACUAGGAUCGUGAGGGUUACAGAUGUGAGCAGCUAUUGAGUUGCUUGGCACUGGGUCACUGCAGUCAGUUGGUGGGAGAUGUAGAACAAAAAAGGUGCUGCACUUGGCCUUCUGCAAAGCUCCAGGCUCUUGUUUUCAUACUGUUGUAAUAUAUAUAUUUUUAAUCACUGUUAACAGCCAUCACACUGAAAUGUUUUCUUAAAAUUAUUAAAAGGGCAUCACACUUGGAGACUAUGUUUGGGGAGCAGUGGCUAUCCCGUUGUCCUUGGGAGCAGACUGUUGAGUAAUAGAGAAGAAAGAAAGAGAAGACGGCGGAUCUCUGAAGGCCUGGGACACAAACCAUUAUCUGAGCAUCAGUGAACCUGAAGAUGCCAUCCUGAAGUUUUUCAACAGGUUUUAUUUUUUAGAGAAUAGCUCCAAAGGGUGUAUGAAGCUGGAACAGUACGUAGAUGCAGCAUUGCAGCCUCACCAGGUGUGUGUGGGGAGUAUUCCGGAGAGAACGUGAUCCUCUUGGAGUAGGUAACUAGUCAUAAUGAAGAAAAUCAGUCUUAAAACCUUCCGAAAAUCUUUCAACUUGAAUAAAAGUAAAGAAGAAACGGAUUUCAUGGUAGUCCAGCAACCGUCACUCGCCAGCGAUUUUGGAAAAGACGAUUCCUUAUUUGGUAGCUGCUAUGGUAAAGAUAUGGCCAGCUGUGAUAUCAGCAACGAAGACGAGAAAGGUGGAAAAAGCCGAUCAAAAAGUGAAAGCCUCAUGGGUACGUUGAAACGGCGGCUGUCUGCGAAACAGAAGCAGAAGGGCAAGGGCGGCGCGGCCUCUGGAGGUUCUGCCGACGAGGACACCUUUUCCUCGUCCUCGGCGCCCCUGGUCUUCAAGGAUGUGCGCGCUCAGAGGCCCAUCAGGUCCACGUCGCUCCGCAGCCAUCACUACAGCCCCACGCCGUGGCCCCUGCGCCCUACAAACUCGGAGGAGACGUGCAUCAAAAUGGAGGUGAGAGUCAAAGCCUUGGUUCACUCUUCCAGUCCGAGCCCGGCCCUGAAUGGUGUUCGGAAGGAUUUUCACGACCUUCAGUCUGAAACCGUGUGCCAGGACCAGAGUAAUUCCCUCAAGAGUUCGGAAUCUCAGAAUGGAGACCUGCAUCUUCACCUUGAUGAACAUGUGCCUGUAGUUAUCGGACUUAUGCCUCAGGACUACAUUCAGUAUACUGUGCCUUUAGAUGAGGGGAUGUACCCUUUGGAAGGAUCGCGUAGCUAUUGUCUGGACAGUUCUUCUCCCAUGGAAGUCUCUGCGGUCCCUCCGCCAGUGGGAGGGAGCUCCUUCACCGAGGAUGAGAAUCAGGUAGACCAGGACCUCGUGGUGGCCCCGGAGAUCUUUGUGGAUCAGGCGGUGAGUGGCUUGUUGAUUGGCACCACGGGAGUCAUGUUGCAGAGCCCCAGAGCGAGUCAUGACGACGCACCCCCACUCUCACCGUUGCUACCUCCAAUGCAGACCAAUCAAAUCCAAAGGAACUUCAGUGGGCUCACCGGCACAGAUGCCCACAUGGCUGAAAGUAUGCGCUGUCAUUUGAAUUUUGAUCCUAACUCUGCCCCUGGGGUUGCAAGAGUAUAUGACUCCGUGCAGAGCAGUGGUCCCAUGGUGGUGACAAGCCUUACAGAGGAGCUGAAAAAACUCGCGAAACAAGGAUGGUACUGGGGACCCAUCACACGCUGGGAGGCAGAAGGGAAGCUAGCAAAUGUGCCAGAUGGCUCUUUCCUUGUUCGGGAUAGUUCUGAUGACCGUUACCUGUUGAGCUUGAGCUUUCGCUCCCAUGGCAAAACACUUCACACGAGAAUUGAACACUCCAAUGGUAGGUUUAGCUUUUAUGAACAGCCGGAUGUGGAAGGACAUACAUCUAUAGUUGAUCUCAUUGAGCAUUCAAUCAGGGACUCUGAGAAUGGAGCUUUUUGUUACUCGAGAUCUCGCUUGCCUGGGUCUGCAACUUACCCGGUCAGACUGACCAAUCCCGUAUCGCGGUUCAUGCAGGUGCGUUCUUUGCAGUACCUGUGUCGCUUCGUUAUACGUCAAUAUACCAGAAUAGACUUGAUUCAGAAACUGCCUUUGCCAAACAAAAUGAAGGAUUACUUACAGGAGAAGCACUACUGAAAAUUAUGAGAGCCCUGCAUCUCGCACUUUGGGAAUAAGGAAAAGAGAUUGAGAUACAGUUUACAAACUUUCAUUGCUAUCAACAUUUUUUGCUGCAUACUAUUUCAGUUUUAUGUGUAAAAGUAAUCAAUUUGUUUAGGGGUGGGGAAGUGUCAGCAAGGUGUCUUGGGUUUAUUUUGGUUCUUUAAAAAGGGAAGUCUUGAGGUUUUGGAAGUGUGAAUUAUCUUUCAUAAAUGUGCAGAAUAAUCACAAUGUGAAUUAUCAGAUUCUCCUUAACCGCCCCCCAAGUCCUUUGCUGCUAUCCACUAUGAUUUUUAUGCAUUAAAAGCACAUUUCAUGUGUAUUCAACCCUAAGUAAAGUUGAAUGAAACUUACAGAAUGAAUAUUGUCAUGUCUCUUUAAAUGGCCCGUUUUCAAAGAUCGUGUUGAAUAAACAUACCCGUAUGAUAAAACGCAGAAUUUACACAUACACUGAAAAUGAUUUUUAAUCUCAUCCUUCAGAAGGAUUUAUUUAGAACUAUGAUUUGACAUAAUCUUGGGUAUUGGAAUGCAGAUCUGCAACAUAUCUUUUACAACACUUAUUUCUAAAUUGUUUUUGAGGUUGUGCUUUUUCUGGUUGUGAAAAGUUGAAUUUUUCUGUUGCCUUCAUUUUCAUCUUGUGGUUUGUCUAUUUUAAUAAAUGGCCUUACAUGAAAAAAAAUCAUAAAGAAGUGUAUACCGCCAAUUUAGAAAUUGUUGCCUUUUCUGUCAUUAAACUCUGGUACAAAUUGGAAUAACAUAAAAAGACCUAUGGGACUAGAACUAUUAUUGAAAAGAUUCUAGAUGAUCAUAGUUUCCUGUGAUAGAAAUUUUGUUGUGUUAAUUAUACUUUCCUUCGGUAAAGUGUUUUAUCUGUGAUUUCUUUAGCUUAGCCACCAUUUUAUUUGGGUGAACUUAAUGUAGAACUGAUUUUCAUAAAAGGACUAGAUUCUCUUGCAACAUUUAGGUUUCUAUAAAGUUUUAAAUUGAUUUGAAUAGAAAACCUUGUUUUAGAGUUGGAUUUAUAUUCUUCUUUUACGUAGUCACUAUGAAGAUGUGCUAGAUUUGACCCUUCCUUCUCUCCACCAAAAAAACAAAAAAGCUGAUGACUUUAGUUGAAAAAUUGUGGGACUUGUGGAGCAUCCUGUCAGAAGAAUAUUAAAAUCAUAUCAGUUGCUCUCUUCCCACUGUCCCUCCCCUGAAGCCUUCUCCCCAAAGUCCAUGCCUGGUAAUACCUGGGCCUGACACUGGCAGAGAACCCAGUCCUAGUGGCAUCUGACUUCUGGAAGGUGCAAGGAACGGAGUGACUCACCACAGCAUCUGCUAUGUCAUCAGGAAAGAGGGUCCCUGCGGGACAGAAGCUAGACUGAGAUUUGAAGUUUCUGGAUUCUGACCUCUGCCGGCUCACUGGCUAUCUCUACCUGGGGCUACAUUUUGACUGUGGUUUAUAGGGAAUCACCUAAUUUCAUGUUAUUUGUAGCUUUUCCUUUCAAAAAACGGCAAUAAUUAUCCUUUAUCCCUCCACCUCCCCAGCAGGAAAUGGCAAAGCUUCAUUAUUAUUAAAAACAAAGUGAAAUUGUCAAUCUGUCCAGAGGUGUUUGCCAUAUAUAUACAGAAAACAGUUCUCAUGAUUUCCUUGGCCUUUGUGGCUGUGCCUGUAGGACAAGUAAGUACUUUCUCAAUGAAGGGGGCGUUUUGAAAUUCCUUCCAAAGAAGUCUGGCAUUCAUUCUAAAUUGACCUGGAGGCUGAGGAGCCCUGGAGUUGUUCCAGUUGCUUCAAACUCUGCCAGAAGUCAUUGCCUGCCAACAGCAUACCACAAUCUUGGGAAUGAACUCUGACAAACUUACCAUCAGGACAGCUGAUGCAUCCCAUCGAGGAUGGAAGAAUGGAGGUCCAAACUUUGUUACACUAUUCUUAAAAGUUUUCUUGCUCAUCUAAUGGCUGUAAAGUUUUACCACACCCGUCAUGCCGACUGCUCUCCACAUCAUCCUCAUCUGGCAGCCGUCAUGUAUUAAAGGGAAGGACUGAGAAGACAGGAAGUCUCUGGUGAAGAUGGAGUUGAUAGAGUAAACUGGAAAUAGGAACAAAAAGUGAAGGCUGGUGGAGGGGAGUGUCAGGAUGCAGACCCUCCCUGCUUCGACAUGUCGCAUCCUGUACUCUGAAGUUCACGGGAAUGCAAACAAAUAAAAAUGGUCAUGCCACCCGCUGCAACAGACCUUCUAAAACACAAGCCUGCACAGCACCCUCAAGCUUGAAAUCGGAGAGCUGAUCUCCCUUGACCAAUAAAGCAAAACUGGACGUGAUGGCAUCUGGUUUCCUGAAGUCUGAGAGACGCUAACAGCGCUGGACUCUAAGUGGCAACACAUUGAUCUGAAGGGGCAAGAGGUUCCCUUAUCCACAGAGCCGGCUGAGAAGGAUGUACAGAUGUGCCGAGUGGGUUCGGGACUUCCCCCACCGAGGAUACCACCUAAAUAAUGACGAGCAGGACAUUUAAGCAGAGGUCAUAUUUGGAAUAGUUUUGUAAACCAUCUUAAGGAAUGCCUUUAUUCUCUCCGUUCCAUCUUUCUAGAAUGCUUUUCCUCGGUUUGCCCGUCAAAAUCUUACCCAUUCUUUAAAGCGGAGCUUCGGUCUUGUCUUCAGCAUGGAGUCGUUGGUAAUAAUAUUUUUUCCUUGUUCUUUUUGUUUAUACACUUGCAGCAGUACUGAGAUUACAGUGAAUUGUUAAUUUACCCAUUUCCACCCUUAAGAGCAAACUUUUUUUUUUAAGUUUUUUUCUUUUUUUUUUAUUUGAGAGAGAGAGAAUGAGAGAGAACACAUGAGAGGAGAUGGGGUCAGAGGACAAAGCAGACUCCCUGCCGAGCAGGGAGCCCGAUGCGGGACUCGAUCCAGGGACUCCAGGAUCAUGACCUGAGCCGAAGGCAGUCGCUUAACCAACUGAGCCACCCAGGCGCCCAAGAGCAAACUUCUUAAAAGCAAAAAUUAUUUAUCUCUAUAGAUAUUACAUGGUUAUUAGUUCAGUUAUGGAUAAGAAGAAGUUCAGUAAAUAUAUAUUGAAUGAAUACAUCUAGCAGUUUCCACAAGAGAAUAAGAAUAAUUACGUUGAUUUAAAAAAAAAAAUUACAUUGACUGCAAUAGUUGGAUGCGUCCACAGAGACCAUUUUUCUCGCACUAGUGUCCAGAAAAUAGGAAAUCCACGGUCCACAUCUCUUCGUGUCCCUGCUUUCAUUUAUACCUGCUGCUCCACACGGCUGAGUCGUGGGAGCAAAUCUUUUCUACUUCAUUACCGCUUUUACCUUUCUUCCUCACGACCGAUAAUCCGUUGGCCAAGCUAAAUGUCCAUUGUCUUUUCAUUUCCCGUUUGCUUUCUUCUUCCAAUUGUGCCUUCACGCACUCCGAUUUUGGCCUGCCUAUCAAGAUUCAUGCUCCCAGCUGUAGGGCCUUUUUUUCUCCUUUGCACAAAUACAUUUUUAAGCAAGGAUCAUACUUCUUUGGUAGCUUUAUUACAAUCCAGUAACACCCAGGUAUCUAUUUUCCUUAUUGGAAAAACAGCAUGGCCAAUGGAUUCAGCACUGACUCCAUAUUCAAUGACUAAGGAUCCUAAUUUGAAAUAUCACCUGUUUCAAACCUGACAUUUUACAUAUAAGGAAUCUGAGAUCCCACCUGAGAAGAAACGACAGGAAGGCCAGCAAAGCAGCUUCUAUAGAGUUGCAGAGUUCUCCCUUCAGAAGAUACCAAGCUAAUGUACUUCCAUCUUCCACUCUUUACUCCAAUUUGCUUAUCAGGCAACCAUCGGUUUUAUCAUUGUUCCUUCAUUUGGAGACAGAACUAGUAAGUUUUGGUCAAGCCCUAUGAUUCAUUUCCUUACUUUCAAGCAAGGUCAUUGCAGUACCCAUUCAGAGGUCUGCCAAGUGCUGCCCCUGGGGGGAGGGGAUGCAGCCUGUGUCCUCUCAACCUAAAAGAGCUUUGGUGGGGCAAUGAGUCAUUAAUCCCCUAAUGCCUUUUCCAAGUGCAGAUAAAGCUUACAGUUGGUUAAGUGAUGGGACAAGGUGUGGAAUGAAGGUUGGCACCAGUCUAGGGGAAAGAAGUACAUUUCCUUUUCCAAAGUAAAAUAUUUAUUUUAAUUGGCUCACAAUAAAUAGUAGGGUGAUUGUAACUAACAAAAGAGAAGUGCACUUUGGAGAACAGGCAUAGUAGAGCAAAGGGGAAAAAAAGUGCAUAGAGAUGGAAAAAUUUUGCAUCAAUCUUUUUUUAUGACUUAGAGCAAUUUUAUAGGAUUAUAAAAUUUGCUGGAAUUAGUAGCUUAGUAGAGUAAUUUUGAAUCACAGAAUUUCAGAGCUAGAAGAUAAUUUACAAAAUAACAAACACCCCCCCCCCAUAUUGUAGAUGCCAAAAAAAAAAAAAAAUGAGGUCAAAGUGUUGAGACAGGAUAAGUUUCUCAGUUCCUUUUGUGUAUCUGUGAUUGAAAAGUUUGGGUGAAUCACAAAUCUUGAUUGCCAUAGCCUCUAGAAUGAUCUACAAAUAGAGAAGAAGCUGCACCUUUCCUAAGACUGCUGGGGUUUGCCCACACUCCGGGGAUCUGGGCUGGGUUAAAGGACAGCUCUCCUCAUGGCCCUUUGUGCUCCCAAAGAAGCAUCAAGGUUAUCAGGACUUCUAGAUAGGUGGGAGUUUGGGCUCUCCAGACCCUUCUGCAUCUCUCAAAGGUUCAGGUUGGUUUUGAGCUUCCCAGGGUUCCAGAGAUGCUCUGGAGAUUUGGAAUGUGGUGCAGAGGUAUGGAGGUAAUUCUUAAGACAAAUACUUGUAAAACAUAAUAAUGUGACUCUUCUGCUUAAAAGUCUCUGAAAGCUCUUCCUUGCCAACACUUAUGUUUUAUUAUUUUUUAAAAGAUCUUAUUUAUUCAUUUUAGGGAGAGAGAGAGAGAGCGUGUGCACAUGCAAGCAGGAAUGGGAAAGGGGCAGAGCGAGAGGGAGAAAGAACCUGAAGCAGAUUCCCCGCUGAGCACAGAGCCCGACUGGGGGCUCAAUCCUACAACCGGGAGAUCAUGACCUGAGCCGAAACCGAGAGUCAGACGCUCAACCAACUGAGCCACCCAGGCGCCCCAACACCAGUGUUCUAAAAUCAUUAUCGUUCCGAGACUCUAGAGACUCACGGCCCUGGCGGGUGGUCCGCUGCGCUGGAUUUUGAAAAUUUCCUGUAACUUUGCUGUUGGGCCAGGUGAGUGGCCUGUCCGAGGGAGGAGGCUUUAACUGAGUAUGAGCACUGAGUCUGUUCAAAGACCUGUCUAGGCAUGAAGCCAGUUUUUGUAAGUAGCUUCCUUUUGACGUAAAUACGUGUUUUAUUAUCAUCUUGUUAUGGAGGAAGAUACUAAGAGGCAGAGAAAGGGUGCCUUCUCCAGCUUUGGCUCCAGAAUUAAUGAUGCGAUGAUGCUCCAGAUGUCUAGGCCCUCACCUGCCUGGCUGUGGAUAAAACUGGCUCUUACUGAACACUAAACUUGCUCUCCGUUCUCGGUAGGCACCAAGACCCAAUCCCAGGUGG
RNA transcript from Mirounga angustirostris (Northern elephant seal), 10950 nucleotides. It is a transcript of the gene named suppressor of cytokine signaling 6, with no coding region annotated. The record is from RefSeq and is a predicted model, not a curated record. NCBI's taxonomy places the organism in Eukaryota, Metazoa, Chordata, Mammalia, Carnivora, Phocidae. The transcript has 9 exons.